UCAGGUGGCACCACAUAGUCACUGAAGAAUCAAAGUUGGAAUAGGCGACUUAACAACGUAUAGCAUAUUACCAACCAUGUUUUGCCACAAGAAGUGAGAGGCAUCUAGAGCAUACUCAGAGCUGCCAUUCCUGGUUCUAAGAAACUCCAGGGAAGCUUUGGAAGGACGGCUUCCAGCCAUAUGUGAUUCUGGAUGGAGUUAGUGUGAGUGAAGAGUUGAGAAUGACCCUGAGGUGAUGAGCCUGGGAGAAUUGAGACCUCAGGCCUUUGGGAUUUCUUAAUCACAAGAAAUACAUACCUCUUUCAGCCUCUCAAUAUAUUCACAUUCAAACAAACAAAAAAAAGAAGCGCCACUUAACAAUCUUCAGCUGAGAUUCUUCUGCUGUAUCCAAAGUUUAGUUAUCAUCAUUGACUCUUCAGAGACCUCGCAACAAUUAAAUACAAUGUCUGUUGCAUCUGAAGUAAUACCAUAUUUGGAUAAAGACCAUCACCAAAUACCCUUUGUUUUGAACAUUGGGCAUGUUUGAAAAUAAAUAAAAAUACACUAGUGUGUACUUCACUUGAA
This is a long non-coding RNA of Antechinus flavipes (yellow-footed antechinus), 564 nucleotides long. RefSeq lists it as uncharacterized. NCBI's taxonomy places the organism in Eukaryota, Metazoa, Chordata, Mammalia, Dasyuromorphia, Dasyuridae. The transcript is spliced from 4 exons. The record is from RefSeq and is a predicted model, not a curated record.